This 406-nucleotide ribosomal RNA is filed under the name uncultured bacterium. RNAcentral describes it as "partial 16S ribosomal RNA". It matches the Rfam family "Bacterial small subunit ribosomal RNA", at positions 30 to 526 of the family's 1533-position model. The record is from RNAcentral.
AUUGAACGCUGGCGGCAGGCCUAACACAUGCAAGUCGAACGAGUGGCGGACGGGUGAGUUAUGUCUGGGAAACUGCCUGAUGGAGGGGGAUAACUACUGGAAUCGGUAGUUAAUACCGCAUACCAUCAGAUGUGCCCAGAUGGGAUUAGCUUGUUGGUGGGGUAACGGCUCGCCAAGGCGACGAUCCCUAGCUGGUCUGAGAGGAUAACCAGCCACACGGGAACUGAGGCACGGUCCAGACUACUACGGGAGGAAGCAGUUAGGGGUAGUAGACGAUGGGCACAAGGCUGAUUCAGCCAUGCCGCGUGUAUGAAGAGGGUCGUCGGAUUGUAAACCUCUUUCGCUGUCAAACCGGUACGUGAAGAAGAAGCGCCGGCUAACUCCGUGCCAGCAGCCGCGGUAAUAC